UACAGAGGAGCCAAGCGUUGUCCGGAUUGACUGGGCGUAAAGCGCACGCAGGCGGAUGCGCGCGUGGGGUGUGAAAUCUGGCCGCUUAACGGCCAGGCGCCAUCCCAUACGGCGCGUCUGGAGUGAUGCAGAGGUCGAUGGAAUUGCCGGUGUAGUGGUGAAAUGCGUAGAGAUCGGCAGGAACACCCAGGGGGGAAACCAGUCGACUGGGCAUCUACUGACGCUGAGGUGCGAGAGCGUGGGGAGCGAACCGG
Molecule: ribosomal RNA, 254 nt
Filed under: uncultured bacterium
Lineage: Bacteria
Description: partial 16S ribosomal RNA
Rfam family: Bacterial small subunit ribosomal RNA
Source: RNAcentral